RNAcentral lists this ribosomal RNA (253 nucleotides) under uncultured bacterium. RNAcentral's name for it is "partial 16S ribosomal RNA". It matches the Rfam family "Bacterial small subunit ribosomal RNA", at positions 524 to 776 of the family's 1533-position model. The record is from RNAcentral.
UACGUAGGGUGCGAGCGUUAAUCGGAAUUACUGGGCGUAAAGUGUGCGCAGGCGGCCGCGCAAGUCGAGUGUGAAAGCCCCGAGCUUAACUUGGGAAUUGCGCUCGAAACUACGUGGCUGGAGUGUGGCAGAGGAAGGUGGAAUUCCAGGUGUAGCGGUGAAAUGCGUAGAGAUCUGGAGGAACACCGAUGGCGAAGGCAGCCUUCUGGGCCAACACUGACGCUCAUGCACGAAAGCGUGGGGAUCAAACAGG